AUGAACGCUAGCGGCAGGCUUAAUACAUGCAAGUCGAGGGGCAUCAGGGGUAGCGAUACUCGCUGGCGACCGGCAAACGGGUGCGGAACACGUACAGAACCUUCCUUAGAGUGGGAGAUAGCCCGGAGAAAUCCGGAUUAAUACCCCAUAGUAAUAUUUGGUGGCAUCAUUAGAUAUUUAAAGAUUUAUUGCUCUAAGAUGGCUGUGCGGCUGAUUAGGUAGUUGGUGUAGGUAACGGCUCACCAAGCCUGCGAUCAGUAACUGGUGUGAGAGGACUAACCCCCACACGGAUACUGGGACACGGAUCCGACUCCUACGGGAGGCAGCAGUAAGGAAUAUUGGACAAUGCCCGCAAGGGUGAUCCAGCCAUGCCGCGUGCAGGAAGACGGCCCUAUGGGUUGUAAACUGCUUUUAUACAAGAGAAAACCUCCCUACGUGUAGGGAGCUGAUAGUAUUGUAGGAAUAAGCACCGGCUAACUACGUG
Molecule: ribosomal RNA, 484 nt
Filed under: uncultured bacterium
Lineage: Bacteria
Description: bacterial SSU rRNA
Rfam family: Bacterial small subunit ribosomal RNA
Source: RNAcentral